GUACGUCUUUAACCCUUCGCCCGUAAACUGGGUCAUAAAUGGCACAAGCCGAAAUUCAAGAUAGAAUACCGCCGAAAUGAAAAGGGGGGGGGGGCUUGCCGUCCCUCGUAAAAAAAGUAGGUAGUGGGGAGAACUCAUGCCCAAAGUUUCGUUGGAAUUCGCCAGUGUGUGCUUGACCAGCAGCGAGUCAAAGUGCGUCCAGUGCCACUAUUGACCCAGUUUACGGACAGUGCCAGACUUUCGUGCAAGGUACAAUGGAUGAUCAAGCGACAAAUAUCAGAUAUUAUUUACGAGAAAGACGAUUUUAUAUGAUUUUUUAAUAAAAUAAUGUAAAAAUUA
Temnothorax curvispinosus is the source of this 339-nucleotide long non-coding RNA. RefSeq lists it as uncharacterized. The record is from RefSeq and is a predicted model, not a curated record. Lineage: Eukaryota; Metazoa; Arthropoda; Insecta; Hymenoptera; Formicidae. The transcript is spliced from 2 exons.